GGCUGAUCCAAGUGUAGUGCUAUUCACAAUUAAUUGAUGACAGUCAGUUAUAGACUUCUUUGUUCCUUCUGCCCUCCCACUGCUUCCCUUGAUUAGCCUUAA
Molecule: unclassified non-coding RNA, 102 nt
Organism: Mustela putorius furo (domestic ferret)
Lineage: Eukaryota; Metazoa; Chordata; Mammalia; Carnivora; Mustelidae
Rfam family: Y RNA
About the family: Y RNAs are components of the Ro ribonucleoprotein particle (Ro RNP), in association with Ro60 and La proteins. The Y RNAs and Ro60 and La proteins are well conserved, but the function of the Ro RNP is not known.
Source: Ensembl